GUCUACGCCCAUGUCACCCUGAACACUUACUUGUCUGAUCCUGAAGCUACAGGAGGGUCAGGCCUGGUUACUACUUGGUUGAGAGACAUUCUGGAAAUAUCUGAUGGUGCAGGCU
RNAcentral lists this ribosomal RNA (115 nucleotides) under Otolemur garnettii (small-eared galago). The record is from RNAcentral. Lineage: Eukaryota; Metazoa; Chordata; Mammalia; Primates; Galagidae.